Molecule: long non-coding RNA, 858 nt
Organism: Tachysurus fulvidraco (yellow catfish)
Lineage: Eukaryota; Metazoa; Chordata; Actinopteri; Siluriformes; Bagridae
Exons: 4
Source: RefSeq, a predicted model, not a curated record
GCGCACAAUCAAAACAACGGCGCCGUGCUGAUGACGUCAAACUUUUGAACGCGUUAAACCCCAUAGAUAUAUACACUAGAGAUAUUCAGCAUGUCCUCGACCAUCAGCAUCGUCCAAGCCUUUACUGCCACUUUUUCACCGCAUUUGCUGAUGAUUGCGACAGUUACUACACUAUAGGUGGAAUUUACAAGGAAUCCCAGGAUUGUGGCUCUUGGCAGUUCUGCUGUGGUACCUGUGAUAAUCGUUAUUGCUGCUCAGAUGCCUUCAGCAAAAUUACUCUGAUUAGCAGAUUUCCAGUGUAGGGGUCUGAGCUUGAUAUCCAGGGGACUUACAGGCAGUGAUAUUGUGCUCUGAGCCCUUUUGACCUCAAACUUGGUUGAUGUAAUAAGUAAACUUUUUCUUUUUUUUUAAUCUUUUGAAAAUGCCUUACUUUUGGUAAAUGUGGGUAGAGUGGGAUACUUCUGAUUCUGAUAAGUGUUGCAAAAAGUGUGAAAAAGGAAAAAAAUAAGGUGAGGUGAUAGUAUAGAAGUGUAACAUGGAACAUAAAGUGAGAUGUAAUUACACAGAUUUACAAUUCACAUUCAUAACACCAAAGGUUUAAUUCUCUCUGUAUUUUGGUGAAUUUUACACACGUGUAUAAAGCUAGGUCUGUUUUUUUCUUUUCUUUCUGCCAUAUAUUUUUAAAUGUUUUUCAUGGCAUCUUUGAUGUUUUUCAUGGCAACAAAUGACACAAUGUAGGAACAGACUUUUGUGGGUGGUAAUGUGUUUUCAUUUCACUCAGCCCGAUUAUUUAUCAAGGCACGCAGCUCAUGUCACAGCUUAUCAGGAAAGAAGCUUAAAGUUGCACAAAAAGCUUGU